UUUAAAUAGUUAGUAUGCUCUUCUAAUUACUCCUUUAAGCUAGGGUGCUCCAUAUAAUGCGACUGAAUCUAAAAAUCUUGCUUUAAUUAUUAGCAUCCUUUAUUAGCAUGUCUGCCUAUUUAAUAAGUUGAAUAACAUUUGUUUGCUAUGGGUUUUAAGUGUCAAAUAGCAGCUUAAACGGUCUUUAUUUUAGCAUGACUUGGAUUUAGUGUCUUUGGAGUUUGUAUCCCUUUGUUCAGGUCCAUAUUGUUUAAGUUCAACCGAGUUAUUUACUUUGUAUUGAUUUAGGGGCUGUUAUGAUUCGCUUUAGAGAUGUUGUUGCUUUAUUAUUCUAUGGUACUAAUUCUUAUUAUCAUUUUGUUGCAUGUGAAAUUUUUCUGAGUUCACCAUGAACUCCUUUUUCCUCGCAUUUUGAGAAAGCCGUAAAGGCUUAAAUCUCUCAUUUCGAAUCAGCCAGUCGUGAAAUCAAAGAGCAGGUCCUAAAAAUUGACGAACAUGUGUUUGGAGCUAAUACAAGAUUGUAUACACUAGUAUACACCUAGUGUAUACAAAAUGGAAAUGGGCCAAAAGUGUCACGCCCCGAGCCUACACCCUGGGUGGGACUGGCACUCGAAGACCGUUGCUGGCCCCAAGUGAACUCUUGGUCUAACUUACUUAACUCAGCGGAAGACUUAACUCAUCGCAUAAACAUUUAUGAAGAAACUUGAAUGUCAUAAAGGAACAUUCAAUUGCCAUUUAGGCAAACUCAAGUCUUUAACAUAAGAAAUGAAAAGUAAAGACAAUUGAAAUAACUAACUAGUCUGUCUGUCUAUGAAGCCUCUAAAACAACUGAGAUAGAUGUUGGGACAAAACCCCCACAACAUCCUAAUGGACUAAACUAGAAAGCAAUGAAAAUAGAUCCUCCGGAAUGCAAGAAGGCUCAUCGACUGACUCUGAAUUGCUCACUGGAUCAAUGGUGCGCUGAAAUGCCGAUCCUAGUUACCUGUGUCUGCAUCAUAAGACAAUACAGGCCAACUGGCAUCAGUACAUUGAAUGUACGAGUAUGCGAGUUGGAAUGCUAAAACAACAUAGGCUUGAAAAGGAAUCUGAAAGAAACUGAAGAACUUACUUGGCUCAGCUCAACUCAACUCAACAUAAUUGAACUCAUUUCAAUAUAAAACAAUUUAAAACAAGUGCAAUAUAAAGAAAAGCUAUUUAAAANNNNNNNNNNNNNNNNNNNNNNNNNNNNNNNNNNNNNNNNNNNNNNNNNNNNNNNNNNNNNNNNNNNNNNNNNNNNNNNNNNNNNNNNNNNNNNNNNNNNNNNNNNNNNNNNNNNNNNNNNNNNNNNNNNNNNNNNNNNNNNNNNNNNNNNNNNNNNNNNNNNNNNNNNNNNNNNNNNNNNNNNNNNNNNNNNNNNNNNNNNNNNNNNNNNGCCAAAGGUAUAGGACCUGAACUACUAAUGGAUCCACAAGUAUAUGUGAAAAGGGUUCAUCUAAAAAGUAUGAACCUUUUCUAUCCAUGAUGGCUACAUGGUUUAUGGGGGGUGUGAGUUGUUUGAACUCUCCCCCAUAUUGGUGCUCAAUACUACUCCCAAAAUAUACUAGCUCUUAUGUUUUAAAACAUACUUCUUCUGUGAUUUGAGAUUAGUGCUCAAAAAACUUAGCUCAAAGGUUAUCUUGGAAAUCUCAGUUUCCCUGCUUUCUUCAUUUAGAAAGCUAAUACCCUUUUCUGAAACUAGCCCAAAUGUUCUUUGGAAAUCUCAGUUUCCGUUCUUAUUUAAAUGUGAAAAUAUUUUAAAUCUCUUUGGGAAUACUUAGUCCCCAUAUACUUUUGAAGAAAUGAACUUCAAACUUUACUCUUUACUCAUUACUCAACUUGAACUUUAAGUCUUAAAAACAAAGUUAAAAGCAUUUGCAAAAGACUUCUUGAAAAGACUCUAAGAACUUCUUAGACUUGGCUCUUGACUUUCCUUGAAUUUAAAUUUAGGAAUUCAAGGUUAUGGUUUAUGUUUCUGGAUGAUUUCUAGAUGUUUAGAAGUCAUUUAGAGUAGUUAGAAUCAAUGGAAAGUGUUAAUACACUUUAAAAUAACUUAAACGGACUGAAUGACAAAAACUGGGUGAAAAAUGACUAUUUGGGCGCAUCCGGGGCGCGCCGCGCCAGCCCUUACCUUUCUAGGGCUCUAUUCUGGCACGCCGCCCCUGCCUUCCUGGCGCAAUAGGGGCGCGUCGAGCCAGCCUUCCCACAGACACAAACUAACGAAUUUUUGACCUCAUUUUCUAAUCCUAAAUCAUUUUAAUCAUAUUCUUUUUCUCAAAUUUACUUUAGAUUCAUGUACUUAAAUUAUAUACACAAAAAUCUAACCCAAACAACUCAAGGAAACAACACUUUAACAUCAAGAAGAUCCUUAAUCCCAUCUCAUAUUCAAGAACGAAAUCAACUCAAGAACCACAUUCAUAUUACAUUCAAAAUCCAAUCUUUUGGAGAUGAAAUCACUGAAUCAAACAUGCUUGGCACGUGGGUGAACGAACCCAACGUUGAGAUAGACUCACAUACCUUAAUUGAUUGAAUCCUCAGCGAAAUUCGCAAGCAAUUCCUUAUGACGACGACGAAUCUAGCUUUUUCCUCCUUUCUCUUUUCUUGCGUUCUUCCUCCAAAACCCUAGCUCUAUUUGGUACUCCCUCCGUCCCUAUUUACUUGUCCAUAUUUCCUUUUUUGGUUGUCCCUAUUUAGUUGUCCAUUUUGACAAAUCAAGAAAGGACAACAAAUUUUUUCCUAUUAUACCCUUAUUUACACUUCUUGAAAAAUUGUAAAAAGUGUAUGUUGUUUCCCUCCAAUUUAUUUCACUUGAAUUCAAAUAAGUGGUUGUAAUUUUAAAGUGAAAAGUUGUCAUAAGGGUAAAAUUGUAACUUCACUGUGCUAAUCAUUGUUGCCUUAAUCUGUGUGCCAUUUCUAAAGUGGACAACUAAAAAGGGACGGAGGGAGUAAAUGUCUACCCCUAAACGAAAUAAAUUCGGAUAGAACAAUUGGGUAAGAAAAGGACCAAACUACCCUUUAAAAAUUCGGAUAGAACUUUCCUUAUUCCAACAACCCAACUUCCAAAGGGAAUAACUCACUCAUACAAACUCGGAAUCGCGCAAAAUUGGUGGCGUUGUAAAGUCGUUCCAAGAGCUUUCCAACCAUAUUUGAAAUUACACCUAAAUCAUCCUAAUCUAGGAGUUAUGGUCGUUUGAAGUUAACCAGAAACUCACUAUUUUCUAACUUAGCCAAUUCCCGGAUUUUUUUUAUUUCUUUCCAAAAAUGACUAUUCCCAAUUUUAACUUUUUUCUUAGUUAUUUCAAAUUGCGAGAUGUUACAAAAAGACCCCAAAUUCAGCAUUGUAUUUUGUUAUUUUGGGCCUAAGCUCACUUAUUUGCUAUUACUUGUUAGUUCUUAGGACAGGUGGAAAAUUGGGCCUAAGACCCAGAGAACCUUUUUUUUAUGUUAGUUUAGGACAGUUGCAGGCGACUCAAAUAGGCUAAAGGGCCAAAACAAAAAUGGGCCCAAAUACUGGCCCAGACGAACAGGAAAAUCAGAUUUGGGCCCAAGUCUCUUUCCCUCUUUGUUUUAUGGAAAAAUUACAGAAAUCUCACAUUUUAGUUUAUUUAUUACCAUUAUUCCCUAUAAGUUUUACAAAUUUCCAAAAUCCCUCAUUUUCGGGCAUCAGAUUAGUGUAUCAACACUUAUAUUAUUGUAUCUCAUACAUCAGAUUAAUGUAUCAACACAUAUAUUAUUGUAUCUCGCGCAUCAAAUUAAUGUAUCAACGCUUAUAUCAUUGUAUCUCGCGCAUGUAUCAGCGCUUAUAUUAUUGUAUCUGUUUGAGGGAUUUCUGUAAUCAUAAACUUUUAAGGGAUAGAUUGUAAUUUUGCUUUAAAAGUAUGUGAUUUCUGUAAUUUGCCCUUGUUUUAUUGUGUUCGUUUACUUGUCAAUAUCUGCUAUUUAACCUCAAGGUUUUAAAAAUUCAAAUCCCCGAAAGAUAUCCAUUUUGAAUUAAUUGCUUAACUAAAUUAUUCCUCUUUUACUUGACUUAAUACAUAAAUAAAUAAAUAAGUUUACAAAAUAUUUCACUUAGAUAAUAUUUCAAUAUUUUUCUUUUUCUCCCUUAAAAUGGUCCUAACUAUAAAAUAGUUCAGUUUUGCAAUUCAAGCUAAGUUAAAAUUAUUUUAGCCAAAUAAUUAACUGCCGGAUAACCGCGUAUUAGCGGGCAUUUCAGAUGCUUUCAAACCCUUCCUGAAAUGCUAAUAAGAACCCCGAACCCUUUUUAAGUUUUCAUUAGAUUUUCUGUUUUAGUCUUUUGAAAACAAUAGUUUUCUUAAUUUUACUUUAAAAAUUAAGUGGCGACUCUAAACCAGUCUAAUCAUAUUUUUAAAAUAAAAUAACUCUUAACGACACAAACUGAAAAUAAAAGUCUCAAAACCCAAACCAACCAUCCUAUGAGAUCAAAACUGAACUUAUAUGGCUAACCGCAGUGACAAAAUUUCAAUUCGAGCACGAUUAUCAAAAAUAUUGACUAAAGUAAAAUUUUGGCCAAAACUUAAAAGUUAAAAUACCUAACAACACAAACUAAAAAUGGAAGCCUCAAAACCCGAACCCUCUAUCUUAUUACAUAAAAAAUGACCUUCCGCAUCUAAUUGCAUUGACGAAAUUCUCAUCUGAGCACAUUUAUCAAAUAUAUUGACUGAAGUUAAAUUUUGGCCAAAAUUUACAAGUUAAAACAUCUAACGACACACAAUAAAAAUGAAAGCCUCAAAAUCCAAACUAACCAUCCUGUUAGAUAAAAAAUGACCUUUGGAGUUAAUUACGCUGACAUAAUUCACAUCUGAGCACGUUCACAAAAAUAUUGACCAAAGUCAAAUUUUGGCCCAAACAUAAGAUUUUAAACACCUAACGGCACAAACAAAAAACGGAAGUGUCAAAACUUGAACCAACCUUCAUGCUAGAUAAAAAAUGACCUUUCGAGGCUAAUGACACCGACACAGUUCUAAUCUGAGCACGUUUACCAAAAAUAUCGAUCAAAGUCAAGUUUUGGCUAAAAUUUAAAAGUUAAAACGCCUAACGACACAAACUGAAUAUGAAAGCCUCAACACUAGACACCGAUUUACCAAAAGUUUAACUUCAAUUGAUAAAUUUACCAACUAUUCAAAUAUAAGUUAGUAAUUAAUAAUUUACCAAUAAAUUUUAUCACAGUUGGUAAUAGUUAUUAUUCAACUAAACAUUUAUAUGUAAUAUUACCAACUAAUAAUUAAUAUGUUGGUAAAUUUUACCAAUGAAUUAAUGAUUGGUUGGUAUAUUACCAACUAUUUAAUGAUGUUAGUAAUUUACUAACUAAAAUCUUUAUUCGUCGGCAAACUUUUCAACUAAUUGGAUAUUGGUUGGCAAGUUUACCAACAAAUUACAUUUCGUUACUAAUUUACCAACACAUUUAUAUUUGGUUGGUAAAUUUAGCAACACAAUCUUGCCGUUGGUAAAUGUUUGGUUAGUAAUUCAUUGGUAAUAUGUUAAUAAAUUAUAUAAACAAUUUUUUGUCAUAUUUACCAAUCGAUAUAUACUUCGUUGGUAAUAUUACCAACAAAAGGUGUGCGUUAGUAAUAUUUCAGUUGGUAAUCCAUUGAUAGAAUGUUGCUAAAUUUGGCGCCAUUUUUUCCCGCCGUAUUUACCAACUAAAAUACUUAGUUAGUAAGAUUUUGGUUGGUAAUCUGUUAGAAUUUCGUUGUUAAGUUUUAAAAUAUAAUUCAGUUAGAAAUAUGUUGGUAAUUUGUUAGUAGAAUACUAACCAGCUUAAGUUGUUAGUAAAAUCUGUUGGCAAUUUGGGGUUUUUUUUUAGUGAAUGGGAAAUAUACACCUUAACCAUUAUUUACUAAUAUUAAUAUGCUCCCAAACCAACAACUAAUGCUAAGAAAAUUCUGAUUCAUAGCAUUGAUCAAUCAAUUUUAUUUUAUUUUUGUAUUAUUAUAUAAACAUUUUGUCUUAAUUGGAGGAGUUUACUGAUUGGAAUCUAAAAUUGUUAAGAUUGUUUUUAACAAGGCUAAAAAUAGAAGGUGUCCUAAGGAAAUUGGGAGAGGUACUAGCAAUAUAGCCUAGGCCAUAGCAGCUUAUUUUGGAACCAAAUGGUGGGUGAGAAAUGACUAUUCAAACUUUAUUUUAGAAUGUGAUUUCCUGAUUAUAAUUAAUAUGAUCAAGGAUAUAUCUCAAAUGGCCUGGAAAUUGCUGCAAAGAAAGAAUAUAUUCUGAGUCACUAGCUAUGAUU
Molecule: long non-coding RNA, 6262 nt
Filed under: Solanum tuberosum (potato)
Lineage: Eukaryota; Viridiplantae; Streptophyta; Magnoliopsida; Solanales; Solanaceae
Description: long non-coding RNA (STUB_LNC004040)
Source: RNAcentral